Melanotaenia boesemani (Boeseman's rainbowfish) is the source of this 1016-nucleotide long non-coding RNA. RefSeq lists it as uncharacterized. The record is from RefSeq and is a predicted model, not a curated record. NCBI's taxonomy places the organism in Eukaryota, Metazoa, Chordata, Actinopteri, Atheriniformes, Melanotaeniidae. The transcript has 3 exons.
GUCUGCUGAAGCAUCCAUGAACUCAACUGACUGUUUGGGCCUGACAGAAUAUGUGACUCUCACUACUUGUGAUUUGACUGUCCUGAAGCAAGAAGGUGAAAGGACCUUCUCCCCAAACCUGACGGAUACAGUGUCUGUCUCAAGCAGUUGAAGCAGUUGAAGCAUUUGAAGCAGUGAGACGAGUGAUCUGGGAUGUCAGAUAGAUCCUUUGAAUGGUAUCCUUGCAAAAAAUGUAAUUGUUUUUUAAAAAAGACUUUCUAAGUAAUCAGUGAUGCAAUUAUUCUACUCUGAAUAUAGGUUUGAUUAUAGGUUGUAAUAAUCUUUUUUAAUUUUUGUUUGUCUUUUAAAAUAUGUUGUUUUUUUUAGAAUGUGGAGAAAAUUCUCUCUUCAAAAGCAGCUGGUAUGUCUGUGAUUAAAGAGUAUAAGACGACUGGGACUUUGAAAGAUUCCACCCGGCGGUUAAUGGUUAACAUUAUUGUGGCUCACAUGCAUGAAAAAGAAGGGUAAGAUGCUUCAAGAAAAUAUUACCGUUUUUGUUUUAAAUGAGCUAAAAUUAUUAGAUGAACACCACUUUAACUCUUGCAGGAGAGUUGUUAGUGAAGCAACAAAGGAAUUCCGUGCCCUUGGAAUGGUGUCACUGUUCCCAUCUCUGAAGGACCCUUAAAGAUCCCUUAAAAGGGUUAUAACACUUCUAUGACAUUCAGAGCAACAAAGGCUUCCUUCAGUGGCGUGUGGAAACGUAAAUCCAGAACUAUGUCAACACUCCCGGAUAAAGUGGCGCCCACAGGAGGUCCUACAUCAUCAAGUUUGAAAGCAUGGACGACCCACGAAUGGGAGAUGAUUGCAUGGAAGCCAUGUCUCUCCUUCACCACACAACUGACCGUGACUUAGUGUUCCAGAAGAUGAGAGAAACCUUCUGCUACCGUCAGCAGAUCCUUCAUGAUCCAGAGCGCUCAGCUGAUUUACUACAAAUGUUUCCUCGUUUCUUGGAUGUCAAAGGACUGGUAAGUAGUAAA